CACCCCUCAGGCCUCCCUCCCUUUGCUCGACACGUUGUAAGUCACACACACGUGCCUGCACAUGGGACGGCUUCAUUCUCUUCACCGCAUGAAUAUGCCGGGGUCCCCUCUUCAUUUUCCUUGAAGACACUGAAAGCAAUCCCAGGGCUUGUGCCUUAGGACAGAGCUGCUGGACCCGCAGCACGUGGGUCCUGACGGGCACCCAGGAGUGAACGGCCUCAGGGGCAGGUCCUGCCACUCAGUCUCCCCCGCGGGCGCCCCUUCACACCCACCACGGCGCUCCUGUGCUCCAACCCUGCCCCUGGCGGGUGGCCCAGCACCUGCCUGGGGCUUCAGGUUCACGCCCCCCUGGUGGCCGGUGCACAGGAACCUUGCAUCUCUAUUUUCCAGAGGUCCUGCCUCCUCUGAUCCCAAGGACAGUAACAGGAGGAGGACUCAGAACUAACAUUUGGGGCGGGGGACACUUGGGUGGCUCAGUUAAGCGUCCAACUCUUGGAUUUGGCUCAGGCCAUGAUCUCAGGUCAUGGAUGGAGCCCCAUGUCAGGCUCUGCACUCAGGGGGAGCCCGUUUGAGGAUUUUCUUCCUCUCUUAAAAAAAAAAAAAAAAAAAGGAACCAAGAUUUGGAACUCAGGCCUCUCAGACUCUGUGCUCGGCACCCAGUGGGUGCUCUCUGGGAGGCAGUGGUUUGGGGAAUGUCUUGCCCUGUCUAGGCCUGGGGAGCACCCCAAGAGCUUGGGGGGAGGAAGCCGGUGUCCCUCCUGAGCACGUGUCCGUGGCUGACAUGGCUCCAAGGGACGCCCGACAGCUGCAGGUCCCGUCCCCCUGCCUAGAGCCCCGUCCCCUGCACACAGGCAGGCCUCAGGUGAAAAUCCACGCUACCACUGAGAUCGAGGCAUCUGAGCAGUUUGAUCCUGGACGGUCCCAGUGGAGGCAGGUCCUAUCUAAUCCGCACGAUUAGUCCGGCCUGAACUUCCAUCCUCGAGGGGCCAGUCUCCUGGGUUCAAAUCCUGGCUCUGCGGCUUAUGGCUGAGCAACCUCAGGAGGGUUUCUUAAUCUCCCUGUGCCUGUUUUCCCAUUUCAAAUGGGAAAGUAAAGUACCUCCAUCUCCGGAGUAUUGUGAGGAUCAAUAAGGUAUCAGGUCAACAGGGCCUCACAGGGCACCUGGCGUGGGGUGUGGGUGACACGAGCUCCGGUGGGCUUGACGAUCGCCUCUAUCCGUUCUUCCUCACUCUUCACUGUGGAAGGUCGGGGCUUCUUUUUUAUGAUGUGAAUUAUUUGUGCAUUUACCUGUCGGACUCCAUAAAGCAGUCGCUCUGAAAAGGUGGCCCCAGGCCUGCCCUGGGCCAGAUGUGAGCAUCGUGAGGGAAAUUUUCCAAGCUCACUGCAGACCCACCAAACCAAUAAUUCGGGGAUGGGGCCAUGCGAUCUGGGUUCCUACAAGCCCUCCAGGAGACUUGACCCACCCUGAGUCUGAGAACCACUGCUGGAAAGGUUUUAUCUUUAAAAUAAAUCAAGGGGGGAAUCCCUGGGUGGCGCAGCAGUUUAGCACUUGCCUUUGGCCCAGGGUGUGAUCCUGGAGACCCGGGAUCGAAUCCCACGUCAGGCUCCCGGUGCAUGGAGCCUGCUUCUCCCUCUGCCUGUGUCUCUGCCUCUCUCUCUCUCUCUGUGUGACUAUCAUGAAUAAAUAAAAAUUAAAAAAUAAAUAAAUAAAAUAAAAUAAAUCAAGGCGUGCCUGGGCAGUUUGGUGGUUGAGUGUCUGCCUUCGGCUCAGGGGGUGACCCCCGGGUCCUGGGAUCAAGUCCCACAUCGGGCUCCCUAUAGGGAACCUGUUUCUCCUUCUGCCUGUGUCUCUGCUUCUCUCUCUGUGUGUGUCUCUCAUGAAUAAAUAAAUAGAAUCUUUAAAAUAAAUAAACAAAUAAAUAAAUAAUUUUUAAAUAAACCAAAAUCAAAGUAUAUCCAGAAAAGCCAGGCUGCGGGAAAAAGAAAAACAUUCCUGCCGCGUUCCCUUCCUGCUCCGAACAGGGUCACAUAUUUCCUGUUCCCACGCCCCGGGUGCGCGCCCUGUGGCGGCCACCGCCGAGUACACACUGCAGACAACACUGCGAACGGUGUUGUCUCCAGGCCUGGAGGCUGGAAGCCCAAGACUCACGCGGUGGCAGGCGUGCUUUCUGCUGGAGGCACCACGAGAUGAUUCGGUCCAGGCCCCUCUCUGAGCUCUGGCAACUCUGGGGGUUCCUCGGCUGGGUGUUCGGACUCUCUGACCCCGGAGCUGAGCCCACGGCCCUCUGAGAAGGGCUCGAGGACCUGGGUGGGCCACCCCCUCGGCCCCACACAGACACAGGGCCGGGCCGAGCAGGGCUCCGGGCCCCCUCUGCUCUCCCGGGUUGGUUGAGAGCACAGCCACCUGCCCUGUGGGGCUGUUCCCUGACCCCACGCCUUCUGCCUGUCACCCCUGCUCCAGAACAUCAUGCGGCCCACGCUGACCGUGCAGAGACUGGUCUGCCCCCGUGUGAGGGCACGUGUCGGGUGAUGACGGGAUUCGAUAUGAAAAUGGCAUUUGUUUUCCAGAACUUAGAAUCCAGACAAUUGACAGACUGCCUUUACCAAAACAAAGAUACAGCAAAAGAAUAUUUGCUCCCGCAAACGUCCUCAUGUUUAAGGUAAUUAAUGCCACUUGUGAAAUCCGGGAAGAAUCCGGGACAGAGGAAAGUAGUGUACCUCUUCCUAGGGUCACUCUCCGCCCAAGCUGGAUGACAAAAUGCCCUGAUAAAGAAAGUGAAGAGGGCUUUGCUCUGGCCGAGGUGUGCAUCCAUGCACCUGUGCCCUGAGGACCGCGUGGGCGGGUCCCCAAUGCCUGUUGGACGUCAGUGCCGCCCAGCUGUCCGGGAACCGAGUCAGGGUCCCGGCCCCACGGAGGACGGAGGGGGCUGAGCUGCGUGUUCCGCCUGAGGGUCUGCUUCGGGGAGGAAGGGGCCUGUGUUGGCAGGCUCACGGGGAAGGGGGUGUCCGAGCACUCUCUGGGUGCUCCCUUAGCGGGGGCGCCCCAUCUCCGCUGUAGCUUGACUCUGCCUCCCUUCCCCACGCCCGCAGGCCGCUUGGGCCCGGCCUCCCUCCCAGGGUCACCCGAGGUGGCCUCCAGCCUCCCAGGGGCCUGGUCCAUCCGCGGGCACACAGCACGCCCACCUCCAGGCCGAGGAGACUGUCCAGGCAAGGCGAACGUGACUCCGCUAGGCCUCAGCCCUGUGCUCGCAGGCAGAGACCCGGCCCAAGACGACCCAGGGCGCAGGUCGGCAGCUUGACUUCGCCAGGGCACCACGGGGAAAGCUCACGCAGCCCCCGGUGUAGACGAAGCUGAGGCCUCAGACACGGAGGGACCUUGGAGGUGUCCCUUCCACCCAGCUCAGCACUGAGCCCACCUAGUUCCCAGGAGCUUCUCAAAGACGCGCAGAGCAGAGCGGCAUCCGUGGGGGCCAGGCCCACCUGAGGCCCGAGGCCACCAAGCAGGAGGCCCCCCAGGAGCCCCGUAGCCAACACCAGGAGGAAGGCUUCCGCGGGGCGGGCUCUGCUGGAAAUGUGUUUCCAUCCACACCGCCGGCUUCCCGCUUCCUUGGCUGCUCCCAGUGCCCCUGCGUAGAUCCUGGGGUUCUGCGCAAGAUGACAGGUUUAUGGGACACUCUUAUCCGGUGCCUCUCCCUUCCCAGGAAUGUUUGGGGGGUGGGGACGGGAUCAGGAUGUAGCCAGAAAAGCCAUUUCCAUGACAUAAAUUACCUGAAGUAGGAGCUUCCCGGGGCUGCUGUUCAAACGGGCCCACGCGGGCAGCUUAGGUGUGGAGGGCUGUCCUCCCCCUGCUG
This 3851-nucleotide long non-coding RNA is filed under the name Canis lupus familiaris (dog). RNAcentral's name for it is "lncRNA (ENSCAFG00040013827.1)". The record is from RNAcentral. Lineage: Eukaryota; Metazoa; Chordata; Mammalia; Carnivora; Canidae.